RNAcentral lists this ribosomal RNA (253 nucleotides) under uncultured bacterium. RNAcentral describes it as "partial 16S ribosomal RNA". It matches the Rfam family "Bacterial small subunit ribosomal RNA", at positions 524 to 776 of the family's 1533-position model. The record is from RNAcentral.
UACAGAGGUCUCAAGCGUUGUUCGGAUUCAUUGGGCGUAAAGGGUGCGUAGGCGGCGCGGUAAGUCGGGUGUGAAAUCUUGGAGCUUAACUCCGAAACUGCAUUCGAUACUGCCGUGCUUGAGGACUGGAGAGGAGACUGGAAUUUACGGCGUAGCAGUGAAAUGCGUAGAUAUGCGGAGGAACACCGAUGGCGAAGGCAAUCCCCUGGGCCUGCACUGACGCUCAUGCACGAAAGCGUGGGGAGCAAACAGG